Molecule: long non-coding RNA, 937 nt
Filed under: Felis catus (domestic cat)
Lineage: Eukaryota; Metazoa; Chordata; Mammalia; Carnivora; Felidae
Description: lncRNA (ENSFCAG00000053089.1)
Source: RNAcentral
AUGUUUAUAGGAACCCCCUUAUCUGCUAAGGAACCAGAGGAUAAAGAUGGAAAGACAAGAACUGCUGGGGCCAUUUUGCUGCUAGGAUGGAAAGAGCUCAAGGAGGAAGCCAAUGCGAAGAGACGUGUGCAGCUAAGUGGAUCCCAGUCUGAGGUCUGGAGAAGGAGGUCCCGAAGAGAGGAGGAGAUUCAUUGCUUGAGGUCGCACAGAGCUCGAGGCAGAGUUGGGAAGAAAACUCUGUACCCACCAUGUCACCCAGGUCCCUUUGCCGAUUAACCACUGGCCACGGCACUGAAGCUCCCACGUUCCCUCACUUCCCUCCAGAGGGCAGAUGCCACCAUUAUUGCCAUUUUUCCAGAAGGAGGAAAGAGCUGUACCAAAGAGCUUAAGUCACGUAUUCUCGGACUGUGUGGGGGAUGAUUGAAGAUCUUUCAGCAGACACUUCGGUGUGACCUGUGAAGAAGCAGAGGUGUCCCCCGAGCCCCCCUUCCCAGUCUUGCUGGCUGGGCCUGCCGUCAGAGUUCGGUUCUGUCUGCCUGGAAGCCAUCCUCUCAUGCGAGGUGCUCGCCGGAGUGCUUGAGGAUGGAGCAGGGCCAGGCCAAGCUUGCGAAACAGAUUUAAGGCGAGGGUUUUGUGCCUGCUUGGCAAUAGUGCUGCUUGUUUAGCAGAAUUUGAUCUCAGACUUGCUGCCAUGGUAACGGGCACCUGUCAGUGAGCUUGUGCAGGGCUGCCUUACCUCUGAUCUCCAGAGAUUGCUAUUGUCUCCCAGAAGCCCUGACAAUUGCCUAACUACCCGACAGGACAGCCGAGGGCAGCUUGAAACUGCCCCAGGUCACAUGGCUGCUAGGUGGCAGUGCUCACAUAAAAGAUGUCAGCAAGGCACUCAUCUUUCAUUUUUUAUUUACUUAUUAAAUAAAAGGUAUUUAUUAGCACGGCA